AGUUGCGUUCAGUCUUCGACAGGCGUUCGCGACAAACGAACGUAUCGACGUGAAAGUAUUUGGCGGGAAACUCGACGCGAGUGAUUGUGUUUGUGAAAAGUGCUGUGCGAUAAUAAACAUAAAACUGGAGCGAUUAUUUAUUUUGACGAGUGCGCACAGAGGUGAUGCCGGCAUGUCAACGCGCGCGGUGAGAGCGGCGCUGCUCUGCGCGUGCGCAUUGCUCCUGCAAUACGCUAGUGCCGAGCUGCGAGGCAGAUGUCCGGCUGAAGGAGGACCAUGUCCGGCGCGCGCUGCGCCUUGCAGCGUCGACGAUGACUGCGGAGAGAAGAUAUGCUGCAAUACCGCUUGCGGCCGCACCUGCGUGGAUCCGCUCUA
Long non-coding RNA from Papilio polytes (common Mormon), 375 nucleotides. RefSeq lists it as uncharacterized. Lineage: Eukaryota; Metazoa; Arthropoda; Insecta; Lepidoptera; Papilionidae. The record is from RefSeq and is a predicted model, not a curated record. The transcript is spliced from 3 exons.